AGAAUCAACGCUGGCGGCGUGCCUAACACAUGCAAGUCGAACGAGAAAGUGGAGCAAUCCAUGAGUACAGUGGCGCACGGGUGAGUAACACGUGACUAACCUACCCUUGAGUGGGGAAUAACCUGGAGAAAUCUAGGCUAAUACCGCAUAACACCUACGGGUCAAAGGAGCAAUUCGCUUAAGGAGGGGGUCGCGGCAGAUUAGCUAGUUGGCGGGGUAAUGGCCCACCAAGGCAGUGAUCUGUAUCCGGCCUGAGAGGGCGCACGGACACACUGGAACUGAAACACGGUCCAGACUCCUACGGGAGGCAGCAGUGGGGAAUUUUGCGCAAUGGGGGAAACCCUGACGCAGCAACGCCGCGUGGAGGAUGAAGUCCCUUGGGACGUAAACUCCUUUCGACCGGGAAGAUAAUGACGGUACCGGAAGAAGAAGCCCGGCUAACUUCGUGCCAGCAGCCGC
Molecule: ribosomal RNA, 459 nt
Filed under: uncultured bacterium
Lineage: Bacteria
Description: SSU rRNA
Rfam family: Bacterial small subunit ribosomal RNA
Source: RNAcentral